Molecule: ribosomal RNA, 440 nt
Filed under: uncultured bacterium
Lineage: Bacteria
Description: partial 16S ribosomal RNA
Rfam family: Bacterial small subunit ribosomal RNA
Source: RNAcentral
CCUACGGGUGGCAGCAGUGGGGAAUAUUGCACAAUGGGGGAAACGCUGAUGCAGCGACGCCGCGUGAGUGAAGACGUAUUUCGGUAUGUUACGCUCUAUCAGCAGGGAAGAAAAUGACGCUACCUGAUUCAUAAGCCCCGGCGAACUACGUGCCAGCUGCCGCGGUAGUACGUAGGGGGCAAGCGUUAUCCGGAUUUACUGGGUGUUAAGGGGGCGUAGACGGUGAUGCAAGUCAGAAGUGAAAGCUCGGGGCUCAACUCCGGGACUGCUUUGGAAACUGUGUGACUGGAGUGCAGGAGAGGUAAGCGGAAGUCCGGGUGUAGCGGUGAAAUGCGUAGAUAGCAGGAGGAACACCAGUGGCGAAGGCGGCUUACUGGACUGUAACUGACGUUGAGGCUCGAAAGCGUGGGGAGCAAACAGGAUUAGAUACCCCGGUAGUC